RNAcentral lists this ribosomal RNA (865 nucleotides) under uncultured Acinetobacter sp. RNAcentral describes it as "bacterial SSU rRNA". It matches the Rfam family "Bacterial small subunit ribosomal RNA", at positions 45 to 904 of the family's 1533-position model. The record is from RNAcentral. Lineage: Bacteria; Pseudomonadati; Pseudomonadota; Gammaproteobacteria; Moraxellales; Moraxellaceae.
GGCUUAACACAUGCAAGUCGAGCGGGGUGAUGGUGCUUGCACUAUCACUUAGCGGCGGACGGGUGAGUAAUGCUUAGGAAUCUGCCUAUUAGUGGGGGACAACAUUUCGAAAGGAAUGCUAAUACCGCAUACGUCCUACGGGAGAAAGCAGGGGAUCUUCGGACCUUGCGCUAAUAGAUGAGCCUAAGUCGGAUUAGCUAGUUGGUGGGGUAAAGGCCUACCAAGGCGACGAUCUGUAGCGGGUCUGAGAGGAUGAUCCGCCACACUGGGACUGAGACACGGCCCAGACUCCUACGGGAGGCAGCAGUGGGGAAUAUUGGACAAUGGGCGGAAGCCUGAUCCAGCCAUGCCGCGUGUGUGAAGAAGGCCUUAUGGUUGUAAAGCACUUUAAGCGAGGAGGAGGCUACUUUAGUUAAUACCUAGAGAUAGUGGACGUUACUCGCAGAAUAAGCACCGGCUAACUCUGUGCCAGCAGCCGCGGUAAUACAGAGGGUGCAAGCGUUAAUCGGAUUUACUGGGCGUAAAGCGCGCGUAGGCGGCUAAUUAAGUCAAAUGUGAAAUCCCCGAGCUUAACUUGGGAAUUGCAUUCGAUACUGGUUAGCUAGAGUGUGGGAGAGGAUGGUAGAAUUCCAGGUGUAGCGGUGAAAUGCGUAGAGAUCUGGAGGAAUACCGAUGGCGAAGGCAGCCAUCUGGCCUAACACUGACGCUGAGGUGCGAAAGCAUGGGGAGCAAACAGGAUUAGAUACCCUGGUAGUCCAUGCCGUAAACGAUGUCUACUAGCCGUUGGGGCCUUUGAGGCUUUAGUGGCGCAGCUAACGCGAUAAGUAGACCGCCUGGGGAGUACGGUCGCAAGACUAAAACUCAA